GAUGAACGCUGGCGGCGUGCCUAAUACAUGCAAGUCGAGCGAACAGACGAGGAGCUUGCUCCUCUGACGUUAGCGGCGGACGGGUGAGUAACACGAGGAUAACCUACCUAUAAGACUGGGAUAACUUCGGGAAACCGGAGCUAAUACCGGAUAAUAUAUUGAACGGCAUGGUUCAAUAGUGAAAGACGGUUUUGCUGUCACUUAUAGAUGGAUCCGCGUCGCAUUAGCUAGUUGGUAAGGUAACGGCUUACCAAGGCAACGAUGCGUAGCUGACCUGAGAGGGUGAUCAGCCACACUGGAACUGAGACACGGUCCAGACUCCUACGGGAGGCAGCAGUAGGGAAUCUUCCGCAAUGGGCGAAAGCCUGACGGAGCAACGCCGCGUGAGUGAUGAAGGUCUUCGGAUCGUAAAACUCUGUUAUUAGGGAAGAACAAAUGUGUAAGUAACUAUGCACGUCUUGACGGUACCUAAUCAGAAAGCCACGGCUAACUACGUG
RNAcentral lists this ribosomal RNA (497 nucleotides) under uncultured bacterium. Its description in RNAcentral is "partial 16S ribosomal RNA". It matches the Rfam family "Bacterial small subunit ribosomal RNA", at positions 28 to 507 of the family's 1533-position model. The record is from RNAcentral.